GUGAUCAUGCACUGCACCUGGGCCAGCUGGGAGCUGUAGCGGGCCUCCGUCUCCGUCAGCGUGUUCUCCAGGGAGUCUCUCUGUGUGGGGAAGGUGUCUGAACACUACCCACCAGGUUGUGCUGGGCCUGCAGCUCGAUCUCCAGGGCGUUGACUGUGCGUCUCAGCUCGAUGAUCUCCGCCUGGCAGGUCUGCAGCUGCUCUGAGCUGGACACCACCUGCUUGUUCAGCUCCUGGGUCUGCAACAAGGAAAAAAACAGUGGAACAAUCUAUGGCAGUUCAAGGCAAGGUGAUCUGUGCUCCAUGUGACUCAGCCCUCUCCUCACCAUGACUGGGCCAUUCACACUUGGAUUCAAAGAAAAAAAUAUGACCAGAGGCAUGGAAACAUGGAACAGACUGACAGAUCU
This is a non-coding RNA of Miniopterus natalensis, 406 nucleotides long. Lineage: Eukaryota; Metazoa; Chordata; Mammalia; Chiroptera; Miniopteridae. The record is from RefSeq and is a predicted model, not a curated record.